UGGCUGGUGUUCUAACGUAGACCCGUGAUCCGGGUUGCGGACAGUGUCUGGUGGGUAGUUUGACUGGGGCGGUCUCCUCCCAAAGAGUAACGGAGGAGCACGAAGGUUGGCUAAUCCUGGUCGGACAUCAGGAGGUUAGUGCAAUGGCAUAAGCCAGCUUGACUGCGAGCGUGACGGCGCGAGCAGGUGCGAAAGCAGGUCAUAGUGAUCCGGUGGUUCUGAAUGGAAGGGCCAUCGCUCAACGGAUAAAAGGUACUCCGGGGAUAACAGGCUGAUACCGCCCAAGAGUUCAUAUCGACGGCGGUGUUUGGCACCUCGAUGUCGGCUCAUCACAUCCUGGGGCUGAAGUAGGUCCCAAGGGUAUGGCUGUUCGCCAUUUAAAGUGGUACGCGAGCUGGGUUUAGAACGUCGUGAGACAGUUCGGUCCCUAUCUGCCGUGGGCGCUGGAGAAUUGAGGGGGGCUGCUCCUAGUACGAGAGGACCGGAGUGGACGCAUCACUGGUGUUCGGGUUGUCAUGCCAAUGGCACUGCCCGGUAGCUAAAUGCGGAAGAGAUAAGUGCUGAAAGCAUCUAAGCACGAAACUU
This 585-nucleotide ribosomal RNA is filed under the name Enterobacter hormaechei. Its description in RNAcentral is "partial 23S ribosomal RNA". It matches the Rfam family "Bacterial large subunit ribosomal RNA", at positions 2211 to 2795 of the family's 2925-position model. The record is from RNAcentral. RNAcentral also lists the same sequence under 1 other name. Lineage: Bacteria; Pseudomonadati; Pseudomonadota; Gammaproteobacteria; Enterobacterales; Enterobacteriaceae.